This 424-nucleotide ribosomal RNA is filed under the name uncultured bacterium. RNAcentral describes it as "bacterial SSU rRNA". It matches the Rfam family "Bacterial small subunit ribosomal RNA", at positions 8 to 442 of the family's 1533-position model. The record is from RNAcentral.
AGAGUUUGAUCCUGGCUCAGAAUCAACGCUGGCGGCGUGCCUAACACAUGCAAGUCGAACGAGAAAGUGGGAGCAAUCCCAUGAGUAAAGUGGCGUACGGGUGAGUAACACGUGACUAACCUACCCUCGAGUGGGGAAUAACCUCGGGAAACCGGGGCUAAUACCGCAUAACAUCUACGGAUCAAAUGCGUAAGCAGCUUGAGGAGGGGGUCGCGGCCGAUUAGCUAGUUGGCGGGGUAAUGGCCCACCAAGGCAAUGAUCGGUAGCCGGCCUGAGAGGGCGCACGGCCACACUGGAACUGAAACACGGUCCAGACUCCUACGGGAGGCAGCGAGUGGGGAAUUUUGCGCUAAUGGGGGAAACCCUGACGCAGCAACGCCGCGUGGAGGAUGAAGCCCCUUGGGGUGUAAACUCCUUCGAUCGG